This 75-nucleotide transfer RNA is filed under the name Clostridia bacterium. RNAcentral's name for it is "tRNA-Arg". It matches the Rfam family "tRNA". From Rfam's summary of the family: Transfer RNA (tRNA) molecules are approximately 80 nucleotides in length. Their secondary structure includes four short double-helical elements and three loops (D, anti-codon, and T loops). The record is from RNAcentral. Lineage: Bacteria; Bacillati; Bacillota; Clostridia.
GCUUCCGUAGUUAAAUGGAUAUAACAGUCCCCUCCUAAGGGACAGUUAUGGGUUCGAUUCCCGUCGGGAGUACCA